RNAcentral lists this transfer RNA (65 nucleotides) under Physella acuta. RNAcentral's name for it is "transfert RNA-L2(TTA)". The record is from RNAcentral. Lineage: Eukaryota; Metazoa; Mollusca; Gastropoda; Physidae.
AUUAAGGUGGCAGAAUUAUAAUGCACAGAUCUUAAGCGUCUGAGAUGGUAAGUUACCCUUUAAUA